AGGGUGAAAGACGUUUGAGAUGAAAGAAGAAAUGUCGGUUAGUAAAAGUAAUCAGAGAAACAAAAGAUUUGAAGGGAUUUGCUUUUACUUUUCAGUGGCCUUGGACAGAGGAAAAGACAACAUGAUUAAUGCAGGCUAUUGACCGUUCGGCUGGAGUUUUGAUUUUUUGAUUUUUUUAAUUUUGUUUGUUUUUGGGCUAAACUAAUGUAAGGCCGUUUUUCUUGUUUUUUAGGAUUUAAUUAUUGGGUCUAGCCCAAUAUGGACAAUUGUGUUUUAUUUCCAUGUCUAAUCCAGUCGAAUUUAAAAAAAAAACAUAUAUUAUUAUAUUAUUAUUAUUUUACCUUUUAUU
Molecule: long non-coding RNA, 349 nt
Filed under: Gossypium raimondii (Peruvian cotton)
Lineage: Eukaryota; Viridiplantae; Streptophyta; Magnoliopsida; Malvales; Malvaceae
Description: long non-coding RNA (GRAI_LNC002538)
Source: RNAcentral